This 603-nucleotide ribosomal RNA is filed under the name uncultured fungus. RNAcentral describes it as "eukaryotic LSU rRNA". It matches the Rfam family "Eukaryotic large subunit ribosomal RNA", at positions 23 to 641 of the family's 3401-position model. The record is from RNAcentral. Lineage: Eukaryota; Fungi.
ACCCGCUGAACUUAAGCAUAUCAAUAAGCGGAGGAAAAGAAACCAACAGGGAUUGCCCUAGUAACGGCGAGUGAAGCGGCAACAGCUCAAAUUUGAAAUCUGGCGUCUUUGGCGUCCGAGUUGUAAUUUGCAGAGGGCGCUUUGGCAUUGGCAGCGGUCCAAGUUCCUUGGAACAGGACGUCACAGAGGGUGAGAAUCCCGUACGUGGUCGCUAGCCUUUACCGUGUAAAGCCCCUUCGACGAGUCGAGUUGUUUGGGAAUGCAGCUCUAAAUGGGAGGUAAAUUUCUUCUAAAGCUAAAUACUGGCCAGAGACCGAUAGCGCACAAGUAGAGUGAUCGAAAGAUGAAAAGCACUUUGGAAAGAGAGUUAAAAAGCACGUGAAAUUGUUGAAAGGGAAGCGCUUGCAGCCAGACUUGCCUGUAGUUGCUCAUCCGGGUUUCUACCCGGUGCACUCUUCUAUAGGCAGGCCAGCAUCAGUUUGGGCGGUUGGAUAAAGGUCUCUGUCAUGUACCUCUCUUCGGGGAGAACUUAUAGGGGAGACGACAUGCAACCAGCCUGGACUGAGGUCCGCACAUCUGCUAGGAUGCUGGCGUAAUGGCUGU